AUUGAACGCUGGCGGCAGGCCUAACACAUGCAAGUCGAACGGUAACAGGAAGCAGCUUGCUGCUUCGCUGACGAGUGGCGGACGGGUGAGUAAUGUCUGGGAAACUGCCUGAUGGAGGGGGAUAACUACUGGAAACGGUAGCUAAUACCGCAUAACGUCGCAAGACCAAAGAGGGGGACCUUCGGGCCUCUUGCCAUCGGAUGUGCCCAGAUGGGAUUAGCUAGUAGGUGGGGUAACGGCUCACCUAGGCGACGAUCCCUAGCUGGUCUGAGAGGAUAGCCAGCCACACUGGAACUGGGACACGGUCCAGACUCCUACGGGAGGCAGCAGUGGGGAAUAUUGCACAAUGGGCGCAAGCCUGAUGCAGCCAUGCCGCGUGUAUGAAGAAGGCCUUCGGGUUGUAAAGUACUUUCAGCGGGGAGGAAGGGAGUAAAGUUAAUACCUUUACUCAUUGACGUUACCCGCAGAAGAAGCACCGGCUAACUCCGUGCCAGCCGCCGCGGUAA
RNAcentral lists this ribosomal RNA (506 nucleotides) under uncultured bacterium. RNAcentral's name for it is "partial 16S ribosomal RNA". It matches the Rfam family "Bacterial small subunit ribosomal RNA", at positions 30 to 523 of the family's 1533-position model. The record is from RNAcentral.